This 534-nucleotide ribosomal RNA is filed under the name Klebsiella sp. K4-180. Its description in RNAcentral is "bacterial SSU rRNA". It matches the Rfam family "Bacterial small subunit ribosomal RNA", at positions 999 to 1533 of the family's 1533-position model. The record is from RNAcentral. Lineage: Bacteria; Pseudomonadati; Pseudomonadota; Gammaproteobacteria; Enterobacterales; Enterobacteriaceae. RNAcentral also lists the same sequence under 1 other name.
UCCAGAGAUGGAUAGGUGCCUUCGGGAACUGUGAGACAGGUGCUGCAUGGCUGUCGUCAGCUCGUGUUGUGAAAUGUUGGGUUAAGUCCCGCAACGAGCGCAACCCUUAUCCUUUGUUGCCAGCGGUUCGGCCGGGAACUCAAAGGAGACUGCCAGUGAUAAACUGGAGGAAGGUGGGGAUGACGUCAAGUCAUCAUGGCCCUUACGACCAGGGCUACACACGUGCUACAAUGGCAUAUACAAAGAGAAGCGACCUCGCGAGAGCAAGCGGACCUCAUAAAGUAUGUCGUAGUCCGGAUUGGAGUCUGCAACUCGACUCCAUGAAGUCGGAAUCGCUAGUAAUCGUAGAUCAGAAUGCUACGGUGAAUACGUUCCCGGGCCUUGUACACACCGCCCGUCACACCAUGGGAGUGGGUUGCAAAAGAAGUAGGUAGCUUAACCUUCGGGAGGGCGCUUACCACUUUGUGAUUCAUGACUGGGGUGAAGUCGUAACAAGGUAACCGUAGGGGAACCUGCGGUUGGAUCACCUCCUUA